Non-coding RNA from Euryarchaeota archaeon RBG_19FT_COMBO_69_17, 83 nucleotides. NCBI's taxonomy places the organism in Archaea, Methanobacteriati, Methanobacteriota. The record is from Rfam.
GCGGGGAUCGCCUAGCCUGGUAGGGCGCUGGAUUGCUAAUCCAGUGCGCUCUGCGCCCGGGGGUUCAAAUCCCCCUCCCCGCG